Molecule: long non-coding RNA, 2245 nt
Filed under: Marmota monax (woodchuck)
Lineage: Eukaryota; Metazoa; Chordata; Mammalia; Rodentia; Sciuridae
Source: RNAcentral
CCAGCCCCUCCCCUGCCCCUCCCCAAGUCCACACCCACGACCCGGGGCCACCCAGGCUCCAGACCCAGUGCCCCGCACUGGGCCGGUGGCUUUGCCUCUCUGGAAGGCGAUGGGGACACAUCAGGUGUCACUCUGACCCCACAAACCCUGGGGUCCCUGUCCCCCCCCCCCGGUCCCUUUCCCACCCACGUCACCCACUCCAAGGCCAAGCUGGAGGUGGGGGCCCACGGUCCUGCAGGAAGCCGGGACCCCACGGAUCAGUGAGCAGCCCGAGCUCCUGCCCAGCCCCUGUCUCUCUGUCCCUCCUGCCCCGGCCACACUGGUCCUUGGUGCCCCCUGUCCUGCUCCCUUCCCACCUUUGUCCUUGGCAUCCCGUCGGCCCUUUCAUCCUGCUCAGGUGUCACCCCAGGACUCCUGCUCCUCGUGGGCUCCCCGUCCCGUCAGGAUCAGUCCACCUCCUCAUGGUGCUGAAGGCCAGGUGCACAGGGGCCACGGAGCGGUGCCCACGUCCUGGCCCUAGAACUAGAGGGGAAGAAGGAAGAUGGAUGAGGGAACAGAGGAAGUUUAAAAAUUGAAUCCCAGUGACUCGGGAGGCUGAGGAAGGAGGAUCCACCAGUUGGAGGCCAGCCUCAGCAACUUGGCGAGGCCCUAAGCAACUUGGUGAGACCUGGUCUCAGAACAAAAAAAUGAAAAAGGCUGGGGAAGUGGCUCAGCACCCCUGGGUUCAACCCCCAGUACCAAAAAAAAAAAAAAAGGUGUAAUCAUGGAAGGGUUGGCGCUCGCCUAGCAUGUGCAAGGCCCUGGGGUCCAUGCCCUGCGUCUCCCACCCCGUCCACCAGAUGGGACAGAGGGGAGGCCAGGCUGUGAGGCAGCCCCGUCCAGGUUGCCGCCUUCCCUCCUAGGUUGAGAUUUCUGAACCCCCUCUCUUGUGUCCACCUCGCCUCCUGCCCCCGCCCCACGCCCUGUCCCUUGCAAACAGGUGGUGCCCAAUGGCUGCCUGUUGGGCUGAAUCGAUCCUGGAGGGAGGGAGCUGAGAGGCUUCCCCUGGGGUGCUGCCCCACAUGCCCAAACCUGCCCCGACUUAAGCCGCUUUCCUGGGCCCUUCGUCAGGAGGUUGGGAUUUGGCAGAUCGGUGCCAGGGUUUCCGUGGGGUCAGGAGGAGCCACCUCCUUCCUGCAGGUGGGGCGGGAAUGGGGAGGGGCGCCCGGGCCCCCCAGUCGGGAUCGUCCUGGAUCUGCAGUGCCAACCCUGCUGGGGACUAAUACAGCACCCCGAGGGUCCCUGGGGCAGGAGAGGAGAGGGCUCAGGAAGGCCAAGUGACCUGCUCAAGCUUGCCCAGCGGGUGCCUGGGAUCUGUGACGUCACCAUGUCCUCGGAAAGCCUGGGCCCCCUUUCUGGGGCUCAUAGGAAGACGGGGGCUCUGGCUGGGCACCAGGUUCCUGCCCCCUGCUCGGGACCCCCACGCCUCUGCGGGGCCACUCUGGCCAGUGCAGUGCUCAGCACCCCUGGUGGUGACCCUGCGGUGGGUGGCCUUGCCCGGUUCCUCGGUCUCCCCACAGGUCAGCCCUGGGGAUCUUACCAGGUUUGCGCAGGGGUGUGUUCCAGGGCCUGGCACCGGGCCUGGCACACAGGGCACCGAACACACUUUUGUCAAAUAGCAGCAGGGGGCUUCCAAUCCCGCCUGGGCCUGAGAGCCCAGCCCUCCCUUCUGCCCUGGGUGCCCGCAGCGCCCCUCACUGUCCCCUCCCAUCUGGUGCUUGCGUUUUAGAAAAGGGUGUUGCACACUUGAAACAAAAACGUUGGAAAACCGCUGCUCCCAAGGACGCAGUUGCGGAGCUGUGGGCAGGUGGGGUCAGUCACUCUUGCCCCUGCCUCCUGGUGGCGCCCCCAGGGCUACGCGGUGGCCUCAGGUGCUGUGGCUGCAGAGCCCCUCCCAUGGGAGGUGCUGGUGAGUCCACGGCCCCUGGGGUGCCUUCUCACCCUGGGGCACACGCGUGUACACACACACACACACACAAAGACACAAGCGCAGAAGAGACCCAGGCUGUCCCCGCCCAGCCACUCUCCUGGUGGCCCCCUCCCCUCUGGCCUGGGUCUGGAAUGUGUAAUAACAGCCUUCAGGGCAAAUUGGGACAGGGAGGGAGCUGGCCACAGAGCACAGGCCACAGAGCAGCAGAGCCGGGUGUGUGUGUGUGUGUGUGUGUGUGCACCCACUCACUGCUGUGCUCACACUGCUGGGGGGGGC